UGGUGGAGUGAUUUGUCUGGUUAAUUCCGUUAACGAACGAGACCCCUGCCUGCUAAAUAGCCAUGAUAGUGAAUUAACUGACAUAAGCUUCUUAGAGGGACGUGCACUCAACUAGUUGCAGGAAGAUAGGGGCAAUAACA
Molecule: ribosomal RNA, 140 nt
Filed under: uncultured eukaryote
Lineage: Eukaryota
Description: partial 18S ribosomal RNA
Rfam family: Eukaryotic small subunit ribosomal RNA
Source: RNAcentral